AAUUACCAUAUACUACAAUACAUACCAAGAUCUUGAUUAUGAGCUUUCUCUUGUCCUUCCAGGUACAGCAGACUAUAGCCAGUCCAUAAUUUUGGCAUCCCCUGUGGACAGAGUGGUUCUCUGUCUGACUGACUAUGAAGGACGAGCAAGAAUCCACUUGAAGAUCUAAUAUGGGGCCCUGGUGGUCCUGGGAUACCAGUCUGACCAGGUGGACCUUUUUGUACAUAGAAGAAAAGAUUUCACACAGGAAAUCAUGCUGCUUUGUAUCAUGCUACUGCAAAAGUUCUUCAAACAGCACAAAGUCUUCGAAAAAACAGAAUUUAGACAUCUCUAAUUAAGGACUUGGGAUAACUUCUAUACAACAGAAAAGCAUCUGAGCUCUUAUGGCAGGAAGAGUCCAUUCAUUACUAAGAAAUUUUCAGUGAAAGAAGUUACCUGGUAAUCCUAGAUCUCCAGGAGACCCUUUUCGACCUUGUGUACCAAGCAGAAGAGUUGGGUCACCUCUCUUUCCUGUUAAGAUUUCUUUUUCACUGACAUUUAUGAAAAUGCAAUUUUUGAAUAAAAGACCAUAAAACUUUUCUAACCCAAAGACUAAUUUUGUUACAUCAAGAAAUUCUUUGACCAGGUGUCCCCUUACCAAUGAUGAUCCAGAUCCCAAAAAAAGAAAAGAAAAAAAGGAAAAAAGAAGGAAAGCUGUAAAUUAAU
This is a non-coding RNA of Meleagris gallopavo (turkey), 705 nucleotides long. NCBI's taxonomy places the organism in Eukaryota, Metazoa, Chordata, Aves, Galliformes, Phasianidae. The record is from RefSeq and is a predicted model, not a curated record.